Molecule: ribosomal RNA, 465 nt
Filed under: Vreelandella stevensii
Lineage: Bacteria; Pseudomonadati; Pseudomonadota; Gammaproteobacteria; Oceanospirillales; Halomonadaceae
Description: partial 16S ribosomal RNA
Rfam family: Bacterial small subunit ribosomal RNA
Source: RNAcentral
CCUACGGGGGGCAGCAGUGGGGAAUAUUGGACAAUGGGGGCAACCCUGAUCCAGCCAUACCGCGUGUGUGAAGAAGGCCCUCGGGUUGUAAAGCACUUUCAGUGAGGAAGAACGCCUGGUGGUUAAUACCCAUCAGGAAAGACAUCACUCACAGAAGAAGCACCGGCUAACUCCGUGCCAGCAGCCGCGGUAAUACGGAGGGUGCGAGCGUUAAUCGGAAUUACUGGGCGUAAAGCGCGCGUAGGUGGCUUGAUAAGCCGGUUGUGAAAGCCCCGGGCUCAACCUGGGAACGGCAUCCGGAACUGUCAAGCUAGAGUGCAGGAGAGGAAGGUAGAAUUCCCGGUGUAGCGGUGAAAUGCGUAGAGAUCGGGAGGAAUACCAGUGGCGAAGGCGGCCUUCUGGACUGACACUGACACUGAGGUGCGAAAGCGUGGGUAGCAAACAGGAUUAGAUACCCCAGUAGUC